Molecule: ribosomal RNA, 406 nt
Filed under: uncultured bacterium
Lineage: Bacteria
Description: partial 16S ribosomal RNA
Rfam family: Bacterial small subunit ribosomal RNA
Source: RNAcentral
AUUGAACGCUGGCGGCAGGCCUAACACAUGCAAGUCGAACGGGUGGCGGACGGGUGAGUAGUGUCUGGGCAACUGCCCGAUGGAGGGGGAUAACUACGGGAAACGGUAGCUAAUACCGCUAACCAUGCGUUGUGCCCAGAUGGGAUUAGCUAGUAGGUGGGGUAACGGCUCACCAAGGCGACGAUCCCUAGCGGGUCUGAGAGGAUGACCAGCCACACUGGAACUGAGACACGGCCCAGACUCCGACGGGAGGCAGCAGUGGGGAAUAUUGGACAAUGGGCGAAAGCCUGAUGCAGCCAUGCCGCGUGUAUGAAGAAGGCCUUCGGGUUGUAAAGUACUUUCAGCGGGGAGGCGGUACUCGCAGAAGAAGCACCGGCUAACUCCGUGCCAGCAGCCGCGGUAAUAC